CCCCACUUAAAACCACCUUUCCAGUUGACCGGUUUGGUUUGGCUUUGGAGUGUUUGGUGGUGUUGGAACCAUGUUUGGGUUUGGUGGUGGGCGUUGGAUUGUCCGGGGGCUUGGAGCCCUUCAGGGGGGUUUUGGGGGGGGGUUUGCCAUCCUUUUUGGCGUUCCAACCUUUUUAAACCCAUUUGAUUGAAAACUGAACUAUACUGUGGGGACGAAAGUCCUCGCUUUGAAACUAGAUAACAACUUUCAGCAGUGGAUGUCUAGGCUCGCACAUCGAUGAAGAACGCUGCGAACUGCGAUACGUAAUGCGAAUUGCAGGAUUCAGUGAGUCAUCGAACUUUUGAACGCAUAUUGCACUUUCGGGUUACGCCUGGAAGUAUGUCUGUAUCAGUGUCCGUACACUAAACUUGCGUCUCUUCCGUCGUGUAGUCGUCGGUUGUUUGAUUGCAGAUGUGAGGUUGUCUCGCGAUGUACCUUUUUUUGGAUAGGUUGCGAGUCCCUUUAAAGUCGGACGCGUGUUUUUCCGUUUUGUGCUUGAUGGGGUGCGGCUGCGGCCGUGUCUGCUGGCGGGUCCGGUGACCUUUGGCGAUGGCAUGAGAGUGGAUUGCUCGAUUUGCGGUAUGUUAGGCUUCGGCUUUGACAAUGCAGCUUAUUGGGUGUGUUCGCUUGGCUGUUGCUGUAUGGGUGAGCUGGAUGGUCGGUGGGUGCGUUGUUGCGUGUCGUUUUCAUUGAGUGCGUUUCGGUUGUCGUCGCCAUUUGGGAAUUUGUGUUUUCGUAAGAGGACAUCUCAUUGGACCGAAUCGACAAGUCUGUCCAGG
This 818-nucleotide ribosomal RNA is filed under the name Pythium sp. 66. RNAcentral's name for it is "eukaryotic LSU rRNA". The stretch from base 242 to 396 matches the Rfam family "5.8S ribosomal RNA". The record is from RNAcentral. Lineage: Eukaryota; Oomycota; Peronosporomycetes; Pythiales; Pythiaceae.